GGAUGACAGGACCGUAUCCGACAGGCCGAAGCUUUUAUGUAGUGCAUGCAUAUGGGUGUUUGCGCUAGACUGUGUAUCUGUGUUUUCAGCCAGAGCGAGUCCAUUGGAUGGGACUGAGGGGUACAAAAGGCCAGGGGCACACAGGAUCUUCCUCAGUAUCACAGGCUUCCACUGUGUUUUCAGGGCGUUCUGGUGUUUCGGAUGGUGUCUGGGAUUGGAGAAUUACCAUGAUUUCUUUGGAUGCGGUUCUGUCCUGGAUAACUGCGCUCUCUCCCUAGGUUGUCAAAUCUACACAGUGAGGUGAUAUCUUGGUUAUCUCCAACAUUUUAGAUUUUCGGCAGUUGGACUAUUCUGAGAAUUGCCAACUGCCAUGAUCAUCAGACUGGGACGUCUGACACCUGGAUACUUCCGUCUCCUCCAGAGACAGGUCUCGGGUGAAGUCCAGCUGCAGCCACAGAACGGAUACACCAACCAAAUCGCCAUGACGUUGGCCUCGGUUGGCAUCAGCCUGUCCUUCUACAGCGCCAGGCAGAUGGCUGAGCAGGUCCAUGUGAAAGUGACUUCUACCUGAACUGGGCCAGAGAGAGGAUGGGGAGAAGGAGAGGAGGGGGAGAAGGAGAGGAGGGGGAGAAGGAGGAGACCAGAGAACCCUGCGGUGCUGCACUCCACUGUAGUGCGUUGCGAUAGUUAGCCACGGUUCUGUGUUUUCGUCGUUUGAGAGAUUGUUUGUGGUAGGUGGGAGAGGAUCGGUGUCGGGAGUGGUUUUGUCUUAAGAGAGAGACCGUGCAUGUCUGAGCACCUGACGAGCACAGUCUAUUUAGCUAACAUUAACAACUCCUUGCCACCCCUUGUCAGUGGCAUGUGACAGGAGUGGCAAAGAGUGAAGUCGAGUAGCGGAACAGAGACUGAAACCAGGCUUAGAUCUUUCAUAUCAAUCAGAAACGAAUGGGCCUGCAGGAAGUUUGUCUUCUUAGUGUCCUCGAGAGGAAAUGUAAGUGUUAUUGUGGUAAAUUGGAAUUGGGAAAAUGUUAGAAAAGUAGAUUAAACAGUGUUAAGGCGUAACUGUGUUUGUUUACUCAAAUCUGACUGACCUGUGUCAAGAGUUGAGGCUAUACCCUACGCAAAUCUGCAUUAUCUAAAAUAAUUCACUGAAGGUAAAUGAUCUUAGGCUUCCUAGAAUGUAUUUUUUAUGUAGCGUUAACGUGUAUCACAGACCCGCUGUAUGGAAUCCCAGCUGUUAUAAUUUGCUUUAGCGCUUUAUCUUCUGAUCAUACUCUAGCUCUGUGGUUCUAAUAGGAAUUGUGGUAUCUGUAUCUACUUUUCAUUAACAAGUUUACAAUUUUAAAUACCAAAUAAAACUCACUUCAACUCA
This is a long non-coding RNA of Esox lucius (northern pike), 1372 nucleotides long. RefSeq lists it as uncharacterized. The record is from RefSeq and is a predicted model, not a curated record. The transcript is spliced from 3 exons. NCBI's taxonomy places the organism in Eukaryota, Metazoa, Chordata, Actinopteri, Esociformes, Esocidae.